CUUGGUCAUUUAGAGGAAGUAAAGGUCGUAACAAGGUCUCCGUAGGUGAACCUGCGGAGGGAUCAUUACACAAAUAUGAAGGCGGGCUGGAACCUCUCGGGGUUACAGCCUUGCUGAAUUAUUCACCCUUGUCUUUUGCGUACUUCUUGUUUCCUUGGUGGGUUCGCCCACCACUAGGACAAACAUAAACCUUUUGUAAUUGCAAUCAGCGUCAGUAACAAAUUAAUAAUUACAACUUUCAACAACGGAUCUCUUGGUUCUGGCAUCGAUGAAGAACGCAGCGAAAUGCGAUAAGUAGUGUGAAUUGCAGAAUUCAGUGAAUCAUCGAAUCUUUGAACGCACAUUGCGCCCUUUGGUAUUCCAAAGGGCAUGCCUGUUCGAGCGUCAUUUGUACCCUCAAGCUUUGCUUGGUGUUGGGCGUCUUGUCUCUAGCUUUGCUGGAGACUCGCCUUAAAGUAAUUGGCAGCCGGCCUACUGGUUUCGGAGCGCAGCACAAGUCGCACUCUCUAUCAGCAAAGGUCUAGCAUCCAUUAAGCCUUUUUUUCAACUUUUGACCUCGGAUCAGGUAGGGAUACCCGCUGAACUUAAGCAUAUCAAUAAGCGGAGGA
Molecule: ribosomal RNA, 608 nt
Filed under: uncultured fungus
Lineage: Eukaryota; Fungi
Description: eukaryotic LSU rRNA
Rfam family: 5.8S ribosomal RNA (bases 234-387)
Source: RNAcentral